This 327-nucleotide ribosomal RNA is filed under the name uncultured eukaryote. RNAcentral's name for it is "partial 18S ribosomal RNA". It matches the Rfam family "Eukaryotic small subunit ribosomal RNA", at positions 1470 to 1796 of the family's 1831-position model. The record is from RNAcentral.
CCCUUAGAUGUUCUGGGCCGCACGCGCGCUACACUGACGAAUGCAACGAGCUUAUAACCUUGGCCGAAAGGUCUGGGUAAUCUCCAAAUUUCGUCGUGAUGGGGAUAGAUUAUUGCAAUUAUUAAUCUUCAACGAGGAAUGCCUAGUAAGCGCAAGUCAUCAGCUUGCGUUGAUUACGUCCCUGCCCUUUGUACACACCGCCCGUCGCUCCUACCGAUUGAAUGGUCCGGUGAAGCGCUCGGACCGCGGCCUCUUGACGGUUUUCCGUCGAUUGGCUGUGGGGAGUUCGUUAAACCUUAUCAUUUAGAGGAAGGAGAAGUCGUAACA